CUCUGAUCACAUCAACAACUGCCUACCAUGAAGCAUCGUUACCUACAAUAUGAUAAAUGCUGUGUUUAGAAGGUCUCUGGUUCGAGCCCAAGUUGGGGCAAGGAGAGGGAUGGAAGCAAUAGCAUUGCUGCUGUGGACCCGGAUCACUCAGUUGGGCUCUGCCCGGUUGCUGCGGAGAUGGAGGAGGUCAAAGGGGGACCUGAGCCCUGGGACCUUGCCUCAGGACUGCCAGGCCUAAUGUCUCCUUGCAGUCCUCAGUCCACCUGGUCAUGCUGCUGCUCCAGUUUCAAUUGUUCUGCCUGCGGCUAUGGAACCCUGACCUGUUCACCGGACAUGCUACCUUGUCCCGGACCUGCUGUUUUGACUCUCUCUGAAUGCUUGGCUGACAUUUACUCCUGAAGUGCUGACCUGUUGCACCCUCUACAACCACUACGAUUAUUAUUAUUAUUAUUUGACCCUGCUGGUCAUCUAUGAACGUUUGAACAUCUUGGCCAUAUACUGUUAGAAUCUCAACCCGGCACAGCCAGAAGAGGACUCGCCACCCCUCAUCCCUCAGAGCCUGGUUCCUCUCUAGGUUUCUUCCUAGGUUCCUGCCUUUCUAGGGAGUUUUUCCUAGCCACCGUGCUUCUACAUCUGCAUUGCUUGCUGUUUGGGGUUUUAGCAUGAGUUUCUGUAUAGCACUUUGUGAAAUCGGCUGCUGUAAAAAGGGCUUUAUAGAUACAUUUGAUUGAUUACAUUCCCCACAUACCUUAAAAAGUAUUCAGCAUUCAUAAUUGAUUUGAAAAACACAAUUUCUACCAUAAUUUCUCGUAAUAAAAAAGUUAAAAGAACAAUCAUACCCUGUCGAACAAAUAAAAAUGUUGAUCUUUGGAAAAUGUCUCCUAUAUCUGCCGUGUCUAUUACACAUGUUGCAAUACAUUUUUUUUUGCGACAUUGCUUUUGUUGAAUGAACCCGGGUUAAUGGAAACCUGUGCCUACUGGCACAAUCAGUAGGCUAGAAUGGCGUCUUUUUGUAGGCACUAACUCCACCAUGGUUUGUUGGACAAAGCCUACGGGGAAAUGAAUGGCUUUUUGGUAGG
Molecule: long non-coding RNA, 1079 nt
Organism: Oncorhynchus tshawytscha (Chinook salmon)
Lineage: Eukaryota; Metazoa; Chordata; Actinopteri; Salmoniformes; Salmonidae
Source: Ensembl